This 565-nucleotide ribosomal RNA is filed under the name Elates ransonnettii (dwarf flathead). Its description in RNAcentral is "partial 16S ribosomal RNA". It matches the Rfam family "Bacterial large subunit ribosomal RNA", at positions 1848 to 2605 of the family's 2925-position model. Lineage: Eukaryota; Metazoa; Chordata; Actinopteri; Perciformes; Platycephalidae. The record is from RNAcentral.
GGUCCUGGCCUGCCCUGUGACCACGAGUUUAACGGCCGCGGUAUCUUAACCGUGCGAAGGUAGCGCAAUCACUUGUCCUUUAAAUGACGACCAGUAUGAAUGGCAAGACGAGGGCUUUACUGUCUCCUCCCUCAAGUCAAUGAAAUUGAUCUCUCCGUGCAGAAGCGGGGAUAAAAACAUAAGACGAGAAGACCCUGUGGAGCUUUAGACACCAAGACAAAUCACGUUAAGAAGCCCUGAACAGAGGCCUGAACUAAGUGAGCUCUUGCUCUGAUGUCUUUGGUUGGGGCGACCCCGGGGAAAAAAGAAACCCCCGAAUGGAAUGGGAGAACAACAUCACCCCCUACAACUAAGAGCCGCACCUCUAAGAAACAGAACAUCUGACCUUCCGAUCCGUCUUUCCUGACGAUCAACGAACCGAGUUACCCCAGGGAUAACAGCGCAAUCCCCUUCAAGAGUCCAUAUCGACAAGGGGGUUUACGACCUCGAUGUUGGAUCAGGACAUCCUAAUGGCGCAGCCGCUAUUAAGGGUUCGUUUGUUCAACGAUUAAAGUCCUACGUGAUC